GACGAACGCUGGCGGCGUGCCUAAUACAUGCAAGUAGAACGCACAGUUUAUACCGUAGCUUGCUACACCAUAGACUGUGAGUUGCGAACGGGUGAGUAACGCGUAGGUAACCUGCCUGGUAGCGGGGGAUAACUAUUGGAAACGAUAGCUAAUACCGCAUAAUAUUGAUUAUUGCAUGAUAAUUGAUUGAAAGAUGCUAUUGCAUCACUACCAGAUGGACCUGCGUUGUAUUAGCUAGUAGGUGAGGUAACGGCUCACCUAGGCGACGAUACAUAGCCGACCUGGGAGGGUGAUCGGCCAAACUGGGACUGAGACACGGCCCAGACUCCUACGGGAGGCAGCAGUAGGGAAUCUUCGGCAAUAGACGAAAGGCUGACCGAGCAACGCCGCGUGAGUGAAGAAGGUUUUCGGAUCGUAAAGCUCUGUUGUAAGAGAAGAACGGGUGUGAGAGUGGAAAGUUCACACUGUGACGGUAUCUUACCAGAAAGGGACGGCUAACUACGUG
RNAcentral lists this ribosomal RNA (505 nucleotides) under uncultured bacterium. RNAcentral describes it as "partial 16S ribosomal RNA". It matches the Rfam family "Bacterial small subunit ribosomal RNA", at positions 28 to 507 of the family's 1533-position model. The record is from RNAcentral.